GCGAAGAAAGAAUUGCGAAAUAUCUCUUUCAAAAAGUGUAUAGUUUUCUGAACACGUGACCUAUAUGCAUAGUGUACAUCCGGGAGUGCGGGACUUAGUUUUGUGACCGCUGAUGUCCGAAGCGGUCACAAAAUGUUUCCGAUUAGGGUGAAUUUACCUAAAAAAAUACCGUAAAUAAAGGCUAUCAAAAUUUAGAAGUUCAAUUGACAAAGACUUUGCGAAUUUUGAAACAACAAUCAUGAAUAUAAUUGAAAUAAUUUUCCUGUCGUUGAUCCCGGAUGAGAAUUAACCAUAACAUCAUCGAAUUCUUCAUUAAAGUUAGCCAAUCGAGUCGACUGUUUUGAUGAUAAGACAGUCUUAAAAUGUUAUUAAUUAUUAUCGUUAUUAUUUAAAUAAAAAUCUCUCUAACUGCCCGAAUGUAUGCCUUAUCCGUCUCAUUUAUUUAAAAGAAAUUGAAUUAAAUAAAGCGUUGGAUUAAUGUGUUGUUUUUUUAAAAUCAAUAACUGUACCAUAAAUCAGCAGCGUGUAAUCUACUUGAAAACUGAAACAGGAUAUUUGUUCGACUACUUUUAGUUGCGUAAUAAACUUAUAUGAAACAAUGCCUUUAAGUUUUAGUAGAGUAUGCUUUUUAUGAAUUGCCUCUAUUAAAUAUCUGGCAUGCCAGAUAUUUAAGUCACAAAUACCAGUGGUUAAAAAUUGAUGAAUUAAAAAGAAAAUUAAUUAGCAGAUCGAUUAAAUUUAAACUAGUUUUCUCUUGACAGUUUGCAUCAGACUUUUCCAAACAUUAAAAAAAAUACAUAUAUAUAUAUAUAUAUAUAUUUCGAUACAUUUUUUGUAUCGUCAGUUCGAAUUCUAAGAAUAUUUUUAUGGAUGUAAAUAUUUACGCCCACUCGUUGAAAUCGUAAUUUGAAUAGGCUAUAGGAAUACGAACAACAGACACACCUUAAUUUCAUUAAUUAUAUCUAGCAAUUCCGAAAUAUGAUACGACCAGAAAGUUCUAGCCUAAUAUAUUAUAUUCGAAAUAAAACGUAAUCAAAUGUCGAUGUAUCCGAUUCUAUUAUAAAUUUCGACCUUUAUAGAAUUGACAAAACAAAGUUCGUUACGCUCGAAUUUAAAGACACUGGAAAAUCCAGACAAAACAACAGAUGUUUUAAAAUCUGUUUAUCCCGUGAUUCAAUUCUAAAGGGUAUUUGAUAAAUUAUAGAUUUUUGGAUAAUGAAAGUAAAUUAAUAACGAAAUAUAUCUGGAUUGACUUAUCAGCGCUAUUUUUGAAUUUGAUGUGGAUAAGAUAUUGUUAUUUAAAUGUUCAAUCAAUCAAUUAUUUAUAACUCUCAAUGAAUUUAAUACCCAUGAAGAUCGACUAAUGUAAUUUUAUAACUUGAGUUUAUGUUAAAGAAUUCUGUUUUAUUUAAAAAUUAUUAUGAAAAUAUUUAUAUAACCAUU
Centruroides sculpturatus (bark scorpion) is the source of this 1443-nucleotide long non-coding RNA. RefSeq lists it as uncharacterized. The record is from RefSeq and is a predicted model, not a curated record. The transcript is spliced from 3 exons. NCBI's taxonomy places the organism in Eukaryota, Metazoa, Arthropoda, Arachnida, Scorpiones, Buthidae.